UACGGGGGGAGCAAGCGUUGUUCGGAUUUACUGGGCGUAAAGGGCGCGUAGGCGGUCAGCACAAGUCAGUUGUGAAAUCUCCGGGCUUAACUCGGAAAGGUCAACUGAUACUGUGCGACUAGAGUGCAGAAGGGGCAACUGGAAUUCUCGGUGUAGCGGUGAAAUGCGUAGAUAUCUGGAGGAACACCGGUGGCGAAGGCGGCAUCCUAGACCGGUAUUGACGCUGAGGCGCGAAAGCUAGGGGAGCAAACGGG
RNAcentral lists this ribosomal RNA (254 nucleotides) under uncultured bacterium. Its description in RNAcentral is "partial 16S ribosomal RNA". It matches the Rfam family "Bacterial small subunit ribosomal RNA", at positions 524 to 776 of the family's 1533-position model. The record is from RNAcentral.